This 545-nucleotide ribosomal RNA is filed under the name uncultured bacterium. Its description in RNAcentral is "partial 16S ribosomal RNA". It matches the Rfam family "Bacterial small subunit ribosomal RNA", at positions 355 to 889 of the family's 1533-position model. The record is from RNAcentral.
UGGGGAAUUUUGGACAAUGGGCGAAAGCCUGAUCCAGCAAUGCCGCGUGUGUGAAGAAGGCCUUCGGGUUGUAAAGCACUUUUGUCCGGAAAGAAAUCCUUGGCUCUAAUACAGUCGGGGGAUGACGGUACCGGAAGAAUAAGCACCGGCUAACUACGUGCCAGCAGCCGCGGUAAUACGUAGGGUGCAAGCGUUAAUCGGAAUUACUGGGCGUAAAGCGUGCGCAGGCGGUUUGCUAAGACCGAUGUGAAAUCCCCGGGCUCAACCUGGGAACUGCAUUGGUGACUGGCAGGCUAGAGUAUGGCAGAGGGGGGUAGAAUUCCACGUGUAGCAGUGAAAUGCGUAGAGAUGUGGAGGAAUACCGAUGGCGAAGGCAGCCCCCUGGGCCAAAUACUGACGCUCAUGCACGAAAGCGUGGGGGAGCAAAACAGGAUUAGAUACCCUGGUAGUCCACGCCCUAAAACGAUGUCAACUAGUUGUUGGGGAUUCAUUUCCUUAGUAACGUAGCUAACGCGUGAAGUUGACCGCCUGGGGAGUACGGUCGC